GCAGCCGCGGUAAUACGUAGGGGGCAAGCGUUAUCCGGAUUUACUGGGUGUAAAGGGAGCGUAGGCGGCGAAGCAAGUCAGAUGUGAAAGCCCGGGGCUCAACCCCGGGACUGCAUUUGAAACUGUUUUGCUAGAGUAUCGGAGAGGUAAGUGGAAUUCCUAGUGUAGCGGUGAAAUGCGUAGAUAUUAGGAGGAACACCAGUGGCGAAGGCGGCUUACUGGACGAUAACUGACGCUGAGGCUCGAAAGCGUGGGGAGCAAACAGGAUUAGAUACCCC
This 278-nucleotide ribosomal RNA is filed under the name uncultured bacterium. Its description in RNAcentral is "partial 16S ribosomal RNA". It matches the Rfam family "Bacterial small subunit ribosomal RNA", at positions 511 to 788 of the family's 1533-position model. The record is from RNAcentral.